GGAGAAGCUCGUGUCGGUGCCCCGGGCGGUGCGGAUGCACUGGACCGGCUGCCCCAACAGCUGCGGCCAGGUGCAGGUCGCCGACAUCGGCUUCAUGGGCUGCCUCACCAAGGACAGCGCCGGCAAGAUCGUUGAGGCGGCCGACAUCUUCGUCGGCGGCCGCGUCGGCAGCGACUCGCACCUCGCCGGCGCGUACAAGAAGUCCGUGCCGUGCGACGAGCUGGCGCCGAUCGUCGCCGACAUCCUGGUCGAGCGGUUCGGGGCCGUGCGGAGGGAGAGGGAGGAGGACGAGGAGUAGGAACACAGACUGGGGUGUUUUGCUUGCUCCGGUGAUCUCUCGCCGUCCUUGUAAAGUAGACGACAAUAUGCCUUCGCCCA
This 378-nucleotide unclassified non-coding RNA is filed under the name Hevea brasiliensis (rubber tree). Lineage: Eukaryota; Viridiplantae; Streptophyta; Magnoliopsida; Malpighiales; Euphorbiaceae. The record is from RNAcentral.